GUAGGUGGCAAGCGUUGUCCGGAAUUAUUGGGCGUAAAGCGCGCGCAGGCGGUUCUUUAAGUCUGAUGUGAAAGCCCACGGGCUCAACCGUGGAGGGUCAUUGGAAACUGGAGAACUUGAGUACAGAAGAGGAAAGCGGAAUUCCACGUGUAGCGGUGAAAUGCGUAGAGAUGUGGAGGAACACCAGUGGCGAAGGCGGCUUUCUGGUCUGUAACUGACGCUGAGGCGCGAAAGCGUGGGGAGCAAACAGGAUUAGAUACCCUGGUAGUCCACGCCGUAAACGAUGAGUGUUAAGUGUUAGGGGGUUUCCGCCCCUUAGUGCUGCAGCUAACGCAUUAAGCACUCCGCCUGGGGAGUACGGCCGCAAAGGCUG
This 373-nucleotide ribosomal RNA is filed under the name uncultured organism. RNAcentral's name for it is "partial 16S ribosomal RNA". It matches the Rfam family "Bacterial small subunit ribosomal RNA", at positions 527 to 896 of the family's 1533-position model. The record is from RNAcentral.